CCUACGGGCGGCAGCAGUGAGGAAUAUUGGUCAAUGGGCGGGAGCCUGAACCAGCCAAGCCGCGUGAGGGAAGAAGGUACAGCGUAUCGUAAACCUCUUUUGUAAGGGUACAACAACGGGGACUAGUCCCAGGAUGAGGGUACCUGAAGAACAAGCAUCGGCUAACUCCGUGCCAGCAGCCGCGGUAAUACGGGGGAUGCGAGCGUUGUCCGGAUUUAUUGGGUUUAAAGGGGGCGCAGGCGGCCUGUUAAGUCAGCGGUAAACGCCCGGGACUCAAGCCCGGCGAGCCGUUGAAACUGGCGGGCUGGAGUGGGAGAGAAGUACGCGGAAUGCGCGGUGUAGCGGUGGAAUGCGUAGAUAUCGCGCAGAACCCCGAUGGCGAAGGCAGCGUACCGGCUCCACACUGACGCUGAGGCACGAAAGCGUGGGUAUCGAACAGGAUUAGAUACCCGAGUAGUC
This 459-nucleotide ribosomal RNA is filed under the name uncultured bacterium. RNAcentral describes it as "partial 16S ribosomal RNA". It matches the Rfam family "Bacterial small subunit ribosomal RNA", at positions 338 to 795 of the family's 1533-position model. The record is from RNAcentral.